AUGAAUUAUAAGGUACUACCGGUAUUUCAUAUGUCUCACUAUACUUAUUACAUAAACAAUCUAUUAAUACUACCCUCUUCUUUUAGGCAAAUCACAUUAGUGUGCGUAGAGGGGACGGAGCUACCACCAAUACAGAAAUGCACAGAGUGCUGCAGCCGGUAUCACUGCCCACUGUGCAAUUCAAACAUUUUUAAACCCACAGACCGAUACCGUGUAAUCAUUCAUUUAAAGGCUCAUCUUGCGACAUCUGUAAAAUACAAAGAUGCCAAAAAGUGUUUUGGAGAAGGUUUGUCUAGAGGUGAUCCUCUCAGACGGAGAUGCCGCCUACCUUACCCUGUCAUUAACAUGUACAGCCUUGAGGGAUGUGGUGUGGUGAAUGUCAAAAAACUGCCCCAGGCUGUAAGAGACAUGUGUGUCCCUUUUAAAAUUGUACAAUGCAGAAAUUGCAGAUGUUUUUUCAAAGACUGGGUGGGGUACUGUAGAAACGGAAGACAUGGAGACCUGCGAGGGUUUUAUACAGACCCUGAAUUUCCUGAGCAUUGCCCAGACUGCCAGUUUUAGGGGGCAGGAAUGAGGUGUGGUGUGCACAGUGUGCAAUAGUUUAUUUGGAACUGUUCAUAUUUUAUUUUCUCUUGAAAUAGGGACUUCCCCCACAACCUUACGGGCCUGACUGUGGCAUCUUCAUUCUGAUGGUCAGAUUUGACAAAUUUUACUAAUUAGAUUGUGUCAUUUCCAAUAAAUAUCGCAAAACCAUGAAGUGUUAAUUUGAU
Molecule: long non-coding RNA, 770 nt
Organism: Cyprinus carpio (common carp)
Lineage: Eukaryota; Metazoa; Chordata; Actinopteri; Cypriniformes; Cyprinidae
Source: Ensembl